Chinchilla lanigera (long-tailed chinchilla) is the source of this 138-nucleotide small nucleolar RNA. The record is from Ensembl. Lineage: Eukaryota; Metazoa; Chordata; Mammalia; Rodentia; Chinchillidae.
AAGGUUCUGCCCCUCGAGGCAUUGCAGGUGUGGCUGCUGUGUCACAUCUGCAUCACUAGGCAGCAGAGAGAAUCGAGGCUAUGUCUAUGCUCAGGGUUCUGACCUGUGAACACCUGAAUGAUUAGUAGCCUGACACGG